This 508-nucleotide ribosomal RNA is filed under the name uncultured bacterium. RNAcentral describes it as "partial 16S ribosomal RNA". It matches the Rfam family "Bacterial small subunit ribosomal RNA", at positions 30 to 523 of the family's 1533-position model. The record is from RNAcentral.
AUUGAACGCUGGCGGCAUGCCUUACACAUGCAAGUCGAACGGCAGCGGGGGAGAAGCUUGCUUUUCCUGCCGGCGAGUGGCGAACGGGUGAGUAAUACAUCGGAACGUGCCCUGUAGUGGGGGAUAACUAGUCGAAAGAUUAGCUAAUACCGCAUACGACCUGAGGGUGAAAGUGGGGGACCGCAAGGCCUCAUGCUAUAGGAGCGGCCGAUGUCUGAUUAGCUAGUUGGUGGGGUAAAGGCCUACCAAGGCGACGAUCAGUAGCUGGUCGGGGAGGACGAUCAGCCACACUGGGACUGGGACACGGCCCAGACUCCUACGGGAGGCAGCAGUGGGGAAUUUUGGACAAUGGGCGAAAGCCCGAUCCAGCAAUGCCGCGUGUGUGAAGAAGGCCUUCGGGUUGUAAAGCACUUUUGUCCGGAAAGAAAUGGCUCUGGUUAAUACCUGGGGUCGAUGACGGUACCGGAAGAAUAAGGACCGGCUAACUACGUGCCAGCAGCCGCGGUAA